UCCGGUUGAUCCCGCCGGAGGUCACUGCUACUGGGGUCCGGCUAAGCCAUGCAAGCGGAGGGCGCGGUCGAAAGAUCGUGGCCCCGCACACGGCUCAGCAACACGUAGUCAACCUACCCUUGGGACGGGCACAACCUCGGGAAACUGAGGCUAAUUCCCGAUAGGCGAGGGACGCUGGGAUGCCCCCUCGCUCAAAGCUCCGGCGCCCAAGGAUGGGACUGCGGCCUAUCAGGCUGUUGGUGGUGUGACGGACCACCAAACCUACGACGGGUACGGGCGAUGGGAGUCGGAGCCCGGAGAUGGGGACUGAGACAAGGCCCCAGGCCCUACGGGGCGCAGCAGGCGCGAAAACUCCGCAAUGCGCGCAAGCGUGACGGGGGGACCCCAAGUGCCGUUGGUCAUCGACGGUUUUUCGGAAGUUUAGGGAGCUUCCGGAAUAAGGGCUGGGUAAGACUGGUGCCAGCCGCCGCGGUAAUACCAGCAGCCCGAGUGGUGGCCACGAUUAUUGGGCCUAAAGCGCUCGUAGCCGGAUCAGCAAGUCCCUUGUGAAAUCGGGCCGCCCAACGGUUCGGCGUGCAAGGGAUACUGUUGACCUUGAGGCCGGGAGAGGUCGGAGGUACUCCUGGGGUAGCGGUGAAAUGCUCUAAUCCUAGGGGGACCACCAGUGGCGAAGGCGUCCGGCCAGAACGGACCUGACGGUGAGGGGCGAAGGCUAGGGGAGCGAACGGGAUUAGAUACCCCGGUAGUCCUAGCUGUAAAGCAUGCGGGCCAGGUGUCUAGUGCUCCUCGAGGGCACUAGGUGCCGGAGGGAAGCCGUUAAGCCCGCCGCCUGGGAAGUACGGUCGCAAGGCUGAAACUUAAAGAAAUUGGCGGGGGAGCACACAAGGGGUGGAACCUGCGGUUCAAAUGGAUUCA
RNAcentral lists this ribosomal RNA (915 nucleotides) under uncultured archaeon. Its description in RNAcentral is "bacterial SSU rRNA". It matches the Rfam family "Archaeal small subunit ribosomal RNA", at positions 1 to 914 of the family's 1478-position model. The record is from RNAcentral.